This is a long non-coding RNA of Lepisosteus oculatus (spotted gar), 937 nucleotides long. RefSeq lists it as uncharacterized. The record is from RefSeq and is a predicted model, not a curated record. Lineage: Eukaryota; Metazoa; Chordata; Actinopteri; Semionotiformes; Lepisosteidae.
UCAAGGAGAGAACGCCUGCAGGCCUGGGAGAUUGCGAUCAGGGUCGAUCUCUGAAUUUAAUGACUCACUGCUGACCUUGUGCUGUUGUGCUGUUUUUCGCAACCAGUUUCCCUUUGUGUUUAUUAUCUGCCACAGACCCUCUGUGUGUCACUGAACCUGGAUUCUGUUGUAGUUUGUUUCUUUUGUUGUUAAUCAUUUUUGCUGAAUGGCUGCUACUGUUACAGUUAUUCCGUUGAUCUGUCUUGUGUGCAAAUCAACUAGUUCUCUGCACAAGGGAAUUCUGGACAGAUUGGCAUUUGCUGUGUGUACUGGUUACUGAGGAAACGUGUGGGGUACCCAAAUGUGCUGCAUUGCAGUCUCCAAACAGUAGAAAUUUAAAGAGCCAGCUGGUGCAUCUUUCAGGAAUUUCAUAAAAAAGGUCACUAGCUGUGCUUAUGGUUAAAGGGGAUUUCUUUUCAUUUUGCUUUUAAAGAAAUAUCAAGCAGUGUUUCUCAACUGGUCAGCAUUGCUCCGGGGACUGGUGCCGACCAGGGGUCGAGAAAGAUGAAUCUAAGGAAGUAUUUGUCUCCAAGCUUUAUGGGCCCUGGAUUCCAUCUAGAAUUCCUGAUUCUGCUGCCUCAGACUCGGACUUGCAUGACUGCUCCUGGCAAGUGAUGUGAAGAGGCAGGAUACUCCUGUCCAUGAAUGGAUCUGCACUUGGUUUUCUGAUGUUGGGGCCCCAAUCUGGAAUGGUCAGAUACCAGCAAAUCCCCCGGCUAAGGCUCAUGGGAACCAUCAUGCAGCGCUACUGUCUGCUGAAGAACUGCCAAGGCCUCUGCUGUACCAUUUACUGUAGCCUACAGCCCUUGAGCAACGAAGUGAGAAGCCUCCUGUUUGCUAACUCUGUAGGGGGAUGGACCUGGAUUGGGUGGAGGAACCGUUUUCACUCUGUUGCUCU